This is a long non-coding RNA of Acinonyx jubatus (cheetah), 1625 nucleotides long. RefSeq lists it as uncharacterized. NCBI's taxonomy places the organism in Eukaryota, Metazoa, Chordata, Mammalia, Carnivora, Felidae. The transcript is spliced from 3 exons. The record is from RefSeq and is a predicted model, not a curated record.
CCCCCGCACCGUGGCCUCCCAAGACCACCCGCUUUGUUUCCUGGCUUCCUGUGGACGUCCUGAGUGUGUUUCUCUGAGUCCCUAUGAGCGUUCUGAGUUUUUGCGGCCUUUCUCGGAGCGCUGUGUCUGAGUGUGUUUCUCUUUUUCUCCGUGUAUUUUUCUCUGUGUGUUUCAGGAUAAGUUUUUGUCUCUUUCUCUGUCUUUGUGUAAGCGUGUGGGUAGGUCUCGGUUUCUUGGUGUGUGUGUGUGUGUGUGUGUGUGUGUGUGUGUGUGUCCCACCCUCUUCACCGCCAAGGGGCUCUAAAUCCACCAGGAUAAAACAGCCCCGAGCCUCCGCCUCCUUCCUUCCCCCUGCCGGGAACACCCGUCCCAACACCCAGGUCGGAAGAAGGGACCCCCGGCCCGGCCCGGCCCGAGGCUCGCAGGGCUCCCAGGCGCGCAGUCCCACUUUGCCCAACUUGUGGGCGCCUGGGGUGCAGCGCGCGGGCUCCGCGGCCCCAACAAAGAUUUCCAGCUUCUCUGGGAAAUUCAGAAGAUCUCUCAAAACACAGCCCAUAUGGCAUGGGUAGAAAUGAUUCAAAGUUCUGAGUAGGACUCCUCUCUGUCUCCAACACGGGAGGUGAGGCACAAGCAGUACCCUUCCUUCCAAUACGUCUACACGCAAGGGGGUUUUCUCAAAAAAGGUAAGAAGGAUGGUUGCUGGACAGCUCCUCAAAAUUCAAGCACCCUACCUAUGGCCUCUCCUCACUCAGUCUGAAUGCCAAGCCGUAGCAAGAGUUUCCAAAUUGAAGACUGAACCCGGUGGUUAGAGAAGAGAAGCCAGCAGGUCAUAAAUGGUGCUGAGGGCGAUAAGGAGGAAAGAGUCUUCAUUCUGACCAGUGAGUGCAAGCUUGUGCUCUGCCAAGGCAAGAAGUGAAUAUUUGUUGAGCACCUACUAUGUGCCAGACACUGAUUAGGCAUCUUACAUGCCUAUCUCCGUUGACCUUCUCAUCACCCCUGAAAAGUCAGUAUGUUCAUGUUUGCAAGAGAGGAAACAGACUCAGAGGGAUGGGGUGAUUUACCCGAGCUCUUGCAACUUGCACGUGGUAGGGCAGGGAGUAGACUCAAGUCUCCCUGGCAUCAAAGUCCAAACCACCCACACCAGGAAACUGCUAGUUCCUCCAGUGACCUGGGCAUCAGAACAGGGCAGGUUGUCAUGGCCCUGGCCAUGGCUACAACAGAUAAAGCCAGUCUAUCCCAAUUUCGUGUGCUCUCUGUUAGGGAGGAAGAAUUGACUCUGCCCUUCAAGGUCCUCCUGGCUGGACUGAGACUCAAACUUACAUCAGACAGACUAACAUGUGAAAGCAAAUUUCAUUUCGUACUUAUGGGGAAUCCACACAGACAUGGAAAUACCAAAGACGGCUAAGCAAAAUGAGGUAUAUAAGUAUUUCUGAAUGGAGGAGAAGGGGGUAGGGGUCUGGGACUUUAAAGGGAAGGAAUGAGCGCCUGCGUGGCUCAGUCACUUAAAUGUCUGACUUUGGCUCAAGUCACAAUCUCAUGGUUCGUGGGUUCGAGCCCUGCAUGAGGCUCUGUGCUGACAGCUCAGAACCUGGAGCCUGCUUCAGAUUCUGUGUGUGUGUGUGUGU